CAGAGCAGCACAAGUCAGUGAAGAAAAGAUUAGUCCAAUCUAAGCACUAUGGCAAAAGCAUUUCCCUGCAAUACUGCCUUCAGAUUAAAGAGACAAACUCCAAACCUCUGAUUUUGUGCGACACCCCAAAACUACAGUCCAUUUUCAGGUCAGGAAAACACCAGGCACAGCAGGGUUAAUCUCACCUUCUGGGGAAAACUGUGAGUGCCAUUCAUUGAGGGGCUGUGCAUUUGCUGUCUCAUUCUGCCAAAGCAGCUCCAUCAAUCCCCUCCCAGCUACCUCAGCCAAGGUGCUUAAACUGGUUCAGCCCUGUCCCAUUUGGCCCCCAGGGUUUCAUUUGUGUGCCUGGUCCUGUGCAUCACGUGUGAACCUUCUCCAGAAGUCCUGAGACAGAUGCCCUUAGGGCCAGUGGGCUUUAGCAAGUUCACAGAGCUCUGGCUGAGUGGUGAACAUCUGAGACGUACAUCAGCUUGUGAGGAGGGACAACUCCCUUCUCAUCCAGAAGAGGAUAGUGUCAAAGAUUAAAAUGCAGAAGCCCAAGCCAAUAGUUACAGGGGUUUGCUUUUGUGUUUAACACACGGGCACCACAGUAGUGAUGGUGCACUGUGAAUAAAAAUUUUGUUCACUAUAUGCAUUAUAUCCUUCAGUCCAACAUGGUGAGCAAGUGAUUCCCAGACUCCUUUUCCCAGUCCCAAAUUAUGCUCCAGUACAGUUGGUACACCCCAGGGAUGGCCUCUAUAAAGUGUCAGGUACCAGUCACAUGUUGUGGCAACUGGGUUGGUGCACUGCCUGCCCCAUGUGAACACCAAGCACAGCUCUUUUCUCAGUCUGGCUGGCCCUUCUGUUUGCACCAGCAGGCAGCCCUUCCCAACAGGAAUGAUGGGGAUCACACUUCACCCCAGGGAGCUUCUAGCAGUGGCACCUCACCCUCAGAAUCUGCAGGAGGCUCAGGAGUUGGCACAACCGAGCUGAUCAAGUGACAGGUCCUCCAAACCCCCCUACAGCCCUGAGGUCAAGCAGCAAGAUGUCCUGGGUAUGGUGGAUGUCAUGAUUGAGGGCAGUGAUGGCUUUGAUGAAGAAAUUGGACUCUCUUUAAAUGAAGACAUGAUUAUCCAAACAUUUCCCUUCAGUGCUCUUGUCCCUGCUGCAUUAGAAGCCAGGAAUAUACUGUUCCCUCAGUCUGAAAAUGGAACAGAAGGAGGUGCAGAUCCAUGGUGUUUCCUGCCUACGGGGCCACGCUGAGCGCCGCAGGUCAGAAGAUCCUGCUGGUGCUUCAGUUGUAUGAGAAGAAUAAUCCAAGUCUUAUAAACUCCAGGUGAGCCGAACACCUUACGUUGUUGGGCAAACUACACACAGGUAGUCUCACAACUGGUCUUUUUGCAGGGUCUGGUUUUUAAAUGAAGGAGACAGUGAAUGAGAUCAAACCUAAAGGUGAAUGCUGCUUUUGGAAACGUUUUUACUACUUAUUUCCUAAUCUUAAUGUAAUUCUCUUAUGUUGCCCAGGCUUCAGUGUGUUUGUGGGUUAGAUGAGGGAAUGUUUCGUUUCUGGAGUCACUCACUCUCCAUAAGCAGGACUCACUGUAGGGGUCUCCUCACAGGUGGCAGGCUGAAACAUGAGUCACUGGUUGACUUUUCCCUUUGCUGUGCUCACGCAGUCGACAGGAAAGUCUGUUGCCAACAGUUGUGCUUAGGUCUGCCUUCCUCAUGUGCUCUUUUCUGUCCUGGAGGUAGCGGCAGAAAUACCACCAGCAGUGCAAGAGCGCUGGCUGAGUCAGGUCUGGAUCCCUGUCCCUUCAUGCAGCUGCUGCCAUUUUGAUCUGCACUUCAAGCUUAAUUCCAGAGGUGCCUCUAAAUGGAUAUGUUCUGCCUUGGAUGGACAGGGGAGGGCAGAGUGAAUGAGACACCCUCAGCCUAAAUUUGAAAAGCCUUGGGAUGGAUGGCAAAGGUGUUGCCAGGGAAAUGAGCUCUAGUUUCAAGUCCCAUAAGGUAAAAACUACAAAUGAAGAUGAAAUUUCAGUACUGAUUGAGCUCCUCUGUAGUUGCUUUGGCUCUGUUGCCUGAUACAGUUACCUUGAAUAAUG
This is a long non-coding RNA of Catharus ustulatus (Swainson's thrush), 2081 nucleotides long. RefSeq lists it as uncharacterized. The record is from RefSeq and is a predicted model, not a curated record. The transcript has 4 exons. Lineage: Eukaryota; Metazoa; Chordata; Aves; Passeriformes; Turdidae.